GGCUGGCGCAGGGGCACCAUAUGGCACAAAAUGUCUGACCAGGACCAUCACAAGAUAUGGACAUCCCUCCUUCACCACCACCAUCAGUGCCGGAAAGGCACCUACAUCAGCUUCUGCUGCACUCACUCACAGUGAGAUGCUCUUUGCACAAGAGAAGGUGUGAAGGGAAGUUUUCUUUCUGCAGUUCUCUUACUGCACAUAACUGUGGCAUUGUGGGAAAGUCUUGCUUCUUUUCUCUUGCAUUCUGGGAAGUCUCGCUCAUAAUCUUUUCUCUGCUUCUGCACAAGAGUCUGAGAAUGUUCUGAACAGUUCCCAUUGAGUUCAUGAAACAGUGUAUCCUGACCUGUUCUUAAUGCAUUGUUGACCACAUCUACGGAACGUGAUUGCUGUAUUCCUUCAUGUUAUGUUCUCUCAAUAUCAAUCUUUAGGUAUAAUUUAAUUAGGAGGUUUCAUGCCUGUCUAGUUCCAGCUCCGUUUCCCAGUCUUUGAUCUAUCAGUGAUAAAUGUAAUAUGUAAUGCCCGCCUUGUACCUAUGUUAACCAAUCAGCAACAAGAUGCUUUGUGUUUGUAUCAACCAAUCAGCCACAAGCACACCUGUGGCAAUGUUUGUAAUAUUCAAUAAAAGAGAGUUCCCGGGGCUUGCCCCGGGGAGACGCCUCUCAUAUGACACCUACCACUCGUCUGUCGUGAUUUCAACCCAACAAAGGUGGGUGUCCAAUCCUGGCAUCCCAUAAAAUGUUGGCAUGCUUAAGAUGGUGUGUCCCAUAUAGGAGAAUAGGAGCCAGGGCAAACAGGAACUGAGCAGGAAGAGCAGUUCCUGUUUGCCCUGCAUAUACACACUAUCCCCUUAAAACACAUUCGAAGCGCAUUUCCCCCUUCAAAUAAUUCUGGGCACUAUAGUUUGUAAAGGGUUGCUGGUAACUGAAACUCUGCAAGGGUUAAACCUGAGUGCCCAGAAUUCUUUGUGGGAAGGCAGCCCCUGAGCUACACCCUUGAAUGUUUAGCGAGGCAGAGGGGGAACUUGAGAGGGGGAACCUGAAAAUAAAGCAACACUGUACCUAGCAGUGGUAGCUGGUGGCUCUUGGGUCUUCUGGAGUAGAAGCCGGGGGGCCACCACACCUGAGGUACUGUGUCCAGUUCUAGGCACCACAAUUUAAGAAGGAUAUUCACAAGCUGGAAUGUGUACAGAGGAGGGCAAUGAGGAGACUGAGAAGAGAUAUGAUAGCCAUUCAAUUAUUAUAUAUAAUUCAAAUAUCUAAAGGUUUUUCACAUGGAAGAUGGAGCGGGUUUGUUUUCUCCUGCUCUGGAGGGUAGGACCUAAACCAUUGGCUUCAAGUUACAACAGAAGAGAUGCCAACUAAAAAUCAGUAAGACCUGUCAGAUGGUUAAGAGCUGUUCGACAGUGGAACAGACUCCCUCAUGAGCUGAUGGACUCUCCUUCCUUGGAGGUUUUUAAGCAAUGUUUGGAUGGAUGCUUUAGCUGAGAUUCCUUCAUUGUAGGGGCUUGGACUAGAUUAUCCUUGGUAUCCCCCAUUUGAUAGGGGGGAAAGAACCUCAGUGUGCUAUGUAUUUUCAUUGAUUUUUAUUGAUUUAGUGGGGGCAGCUGCCCCUCCCGGGGGCCCCUGGCUACGCCCAUGUUUCUCACUCUACGAUUCUAUGAUUCUAAUAUCCUAUUAUGUAAUGUUUUUGCUUUCUAUGACAUUGCUGCUUUAUCUUCUUCAGCCCAGCCCAUCUGAAAAUUGCAUGCUUCGUUAUGGAUCACUUUGCCCUGCGGCUGAUAUAUGGUAACAUUUAAUGUCUUAAGCAUCAAGGGAAACUUUAUUUCAACAUUGUUCUCUUGCUUGGAGCAGUUUCUGCAAAUUCAUAUGUAACAAGGAAGUUCUAGAAGCUUUUAAUCUUCACGUCAUAUUUUCCUGUCAGGACUUCACCUACCUUUUGAAGAAACAACCGUCUCUACUAGAUAUACCUGUAUGGGUGGGUUUGCCAUUUUCUUGCUACAAGAUGUCUUUCCACCUACAGAACAAGAUUCCCCCCCCCCCAACCAUGGAAAAGUAAGUUGGGGUGGGGGCAGAAUUCUGAGCAGCAAAAUGGCUGGAGGGGAAAGGGUUAAGCAACUGUUCCCCAUUAACAUUCUCUCAUUCAAGCUUGCAGGCUCCUUUCAUUUUUUAAAAAAAAUCUGUCAGGAGAUUAUUGCAUGCAUGCUGUAUAACAGUGGUUCUCAAAGGUUGUGGCGCGCCACACUGGUGUGGCAGGAGCAGAUGGCAAGUGUGCUGGGAAGAUUCAAGGACAAUCAAAUAAACUUUUAAACAUUUCAGUUUAGUAUAGCAGACCUUCCAAGUGUCCCUAUUUUCCAGGAACGUCCCUGAUUUAGAGAAGCCCUCCCGGUUUCUGAUUUGAUCCCAGAAUGAGAGCAAGAGGGUCAAGUGAUGCUGAGGACAAUCCUAGCUGCCGCUUGAAUGGACUGCUGGAGAAGACUUGUUUAAUUUGAAACCAGUAGCCAAUGCAAACAACCUCCCCCUGCCCCCAUUGGCUAUGCAUUUCCAUAUAAUACCUACACUGGCCCACAAAUGCUAUGAUGUCAUAAUGUUUCAACAAAAUUUGUUCCAAGUAAAGGGACAUUUCCUUCCUUCAAUUUUGUUAGGUAACCUUUUAUGGUCUGUUUUUAAUAUUCAUCCCUUUUUGUAGCUCAUUAUAAUCAGUGCUUUUUUUCUUUUAGAAAAAAAUGCACCGGUGCUCAUCAUGAAGUUGUUACAGUAUGUGCCACACUUUUAACAUUUUGAGGAGGAAAGGUGCCGGUACCACUUGCCCUUGAGUACCCCCAGGGGGAAAAUGGUACUGAUUAUAAUUUUUAAAAUGUUCUGAUUACCUUUAUUUCAAAAUAUCUAAAGUUGCAUUGAACUCCAUGGAAUGGGCCAGAUUUUCACAACAUCCCUUAUAUUUGAAUAUUGACCUUUCACAAAGCUUUGGAUUUUUGAAUGUUGCUUUUGUACGUUACUUUUUCAUGCAUUUGUUUCACAUUGUGAGAGCUCUUCUAAUCGGUGCUAUUACAGACCCAUAUUAAAGACAGGGGAAAACUAUGGGGCAGAUGUAUUCAUUUAUUGGCUGGAAUGAUGCUUGGGGAUGGAGGGUAACCUUUGGGGGUAGAAUAUCCCAUUGCUUUCUUUGUACAUCAAAAUGCUGGAUGCCAAUGAGUCAUUAAUACUAUUAUUUCAGAUGCAUACUUUCUGAGAUCUUGCCCUUGGUGCAGCGAUUAUCACAACGUGGUUUCCUACUGGAAUAUGUUAUUUCUAGACACAAAAUGGAACCUGUUGCGACUCUAUAAACAAAUGGUCCUGAAGGAUGAUUAGUGUUGACACAGAGCUAAAAACGUGUGUUCUUUGGCUUUUGAAAACAACCGUCCUUUCUUACUAUCUGUUAUGUAGGGGUGUCUGUUAAGUAGAAUCAAAAUCCUGUCCAUGUCAAUUGUAGGUCACUGCUUUUCAAUCAGCCAGUUUUGUUUUGACUCUCAGCAGGGUAGGAGAGUAAAAAUAUAAGAAUAUGAGAAGUGCCCUGCUGGCUAGGGCCAAAGUUCCAUCUGGUCCAGCGUCCUGUUCUCACAAUGGCCAACCAGAUGUUUCUGGCAAGCAGAACCUAAAUGCAACAGAACUUUCCCCACUUGUGAUUUCCAUCUACUGGCAUUGAGGGUGUUAAGUUGUGCGUGAACAUAUCAGACGACACAGCGAUUCUUCAACAGCUCUUGUUUAUUCAGAGGCCAGAACAGAACUGAGCUGAAGGGCUCAGUCAGCCUGCUUAUAUAGAGCUCCACUACAACGUUACUGUAGCAACUUUCUAAAACUAUCCAAUAACUGAACGUCACUUUCGAUCCUUCAUUUGCAUAACUAUCUACAGUAUCCCCCUGCAGGCCCAGGGUGAGAACUUUAGUACAUAACAGAGGGGAAUACUGCCUCUGAACGUAGGGAAUUGCUUUUGUAAAUGGAAUGAUCUAAGUCACAUAUUCAUCCACUCCGGGCCUCAGUAUUGGAGGGUAUGUUUCCCAUAGGUUCAGACCCUGGUGUGGAACUUAAGAAACAACCAUCACUUUCUUAAACAGGAAACAGGGAUCAGAAUUCCAAGCAGAUGAGUCAGGGAUUGACAGGAUGAUUCCAACUCAUGGUAGGUUUAUUAUCUGUGCUCUGGACAGGAUGGGUGUCCUGACUAGGGGAGAGGAUAAUAUGCAGGGGAAGGAUAAUACUCAUGUGCUCCUUGAUAGCAGAUAGCAUACUCAUAUGGGGAAUAUAGAUCAGGCAUAGGCAAACCCGGCCCUGCAGAUGUUUUAGGACUACAACUCCCAUGAUCCCUAGCUAACAGGACCAGUGGUCAGGGAUGAUGGGAAUUGUAGUCCCAAAACAUCUGGAUGGCCGAGUUUGCCUAUGCCUGGUAUAGAUGUUGAAAAGCAGUUUAAAGCCCUCUUAAACACUAGCUCAGCUGCGUGGAGUCUGCAAGGGGUAGCUUUUUGUAUUCCUGGAGUCUUCUUGCACAUUACAGAACCCUAAUUAUGCAAGGGGCCACAGGAAAUUGCACCCAAACAUAACUAUGCAUGAACAUUAGUGAGUGCAUGAAGGAAUUAAGAUCAUAGAACUGUGUUCCUGGACUCAGGUAGGCCAUGCCAUCUCUUCUCUGAUGAGGGAGAUGAUGAGGGAGGAAGUGAAAUUUUCUUAUUCCUCCUGUCUCUCAUCUCACCAUUUAUCUCACCAAGGAAGAUGUGUCUAAGCUUUGCUCCAAGCUUAGAGCAUGUGUUUGAAGCUAUUUCUCUGUGUUUUCUACACAAGAGUAUUCUGCCUGUGUUCUCCUUACUGCUGCUUGGGUAAAUGCAU
RNAcentral lists this long non-coding RNA (4853 nucleotides) under Podarcis lilfordi (Lilford's wall lizard). The record is from RNAcentral. Lineage: Eukaryota; Metazoa; Chordata; Lepidosauria; Squamata; Lacertidae.